UAAUACAGAGGGGGCAAGCGUUGUUCGGAAUUAUUGGGCGUAAAGGGUGCGUAGGCGGUGCGGUAAGUCUUCUGUGAAAUCUCCGGGCUCAACUCGGAGCCUGCAGGAGAAACUGCCGUGCUUGAGUAUGGGAGAGGUGAGUGGAAUUCCUGGUGUAGCGGUGAAAUGCGUAGAUAUCAGGAGGAACACCUGUGGCGAAAGCGGCUCACUGGACCAUAACUGACGCUGAGGCACGAAAGCUAGGGGAGCAAACAGG
This 256-nucleotide ribosomal RNA is filed under the name uncultured prokaryote. RNAcentral's name for it is "partial 16S ribosomal RNA". It matches the Rfam family "Bacterial small subunit ribosomal RNA", at positions 521 to 776 of the family's 1533-position model. The record is from RNAcentral.